Molecule: ribosomal RNA, 433 nt
Filed under: uncultured bacterium
Lineage: Bacteria
Description: partial 16S ribosomal RNA
Rfam family: Bacterial small subunit ribosomal RNA
Source: RNAcentral
AACGAACGCUGGCGGCAUGCCUAACACAUGCAAGUCGAACGAGACCUUCGGGUCUAGUGGCGCACGGGUGCGUAACGCGUGGGAACCUGCCCUUAGGUUCGGAAUAACUCCCCGAAAGGGGUGCUAAUACCGGAUAAUGUCUUCGGACCAAAGAUCUAUCGCCUUUGGAUGGGCCCGCGUUGGAUUAGCUAGUUGGUAGGGUAAAAGCCUACCAAGGCGACGAUCCAUAGCUGGUCUGAGAGGAUGAUCAGCCACACUGGGACUGAGACACGGCCCAGACUCCUACGGGAGGCAGCAGUGGGGAAUAUUGGACAAUGGGCGAAAGCCUGAUCCAGCAAUGCCGCGUGAGUGAUGAAGGCCUUAGGGUUGUAGAGCUCUUUUACCCGGGAUGAUAAUGACAGUACCGGGAGAAUAAGCUCCGGCUAACUCCGUG